UAGAUUUAUAGUGGUUAUCCAGCAGUGGUGAUACAGAUGAUGGAUCUUUUCAAACAUUAGCUGGGCAUAUAUAUCAUCACGGAUAGAUACUUGAUUACAUAUAAAACACAUGACCACAAAGGGAUGUUUAGCACAUAGAUUAUUACAAAAAUAUGAAGCCUAUACAUGUCUUAUUCUUCAGAGCAGGAACAAAAGGGUUAGGGCAUCAUUGGAACUAAACAUGGAGUAUACUGCAGAGGAAACAAAAAGUGGCUUCUCGAGGGGUCACACACGCAUUGUAGGUAAGACAGAUCCAACAAAGGUAAUUAGAAACGGUCUUUCAUAGUUUCCAGCCAUUGUUCUAACUUCAUACCUAUGAAGCGUAAUCUCUUUGCCAAUUCCUCAAUGCCUAUAAGGGCAUGUACAAUAGUAGCAGCACCUAGGUGCUGCCCCAGCUCAGCCACCUAUGGUCAAGGAAAUGAGGCUACCGAUUAGAUUUUUAUCAUCCAACGUUAAACGUGAAGCUACCCUUCUGUGGAACCCACCAUCAUCUUCUUUCCUUUCUGAUUCUCAUCUCUUUUUUCACCUCCUAGGACCAUCUCCAGCUUGCUUUCCCUCUACUUUUCCUCUCUCCCCACUUUCUCUUGGUUUCUCGCAUGGAGCAGCCGGCUCUUCUGCAAGCCACACCAGGACCUGCAGGGCUACCACUUUUUCUACAGCGUGGCAUCCGAACCUAGGUGGACAAUGGGGCAGCAGGUUUGAGGCAGCCCAUUGGCCUUGCCCUAAGUGAUGCUAUCAUAACUCCUUUGGUGUCACCCUGUCCUUUUAGGUGACGAACAGUUGUCGUGUUCUGCAGAAAACAAAAGGGCAGAAGUUGAUGUGACAUAACACAUAACACAUAACAUGUGAAUAAAGAUGACGUCCUUGUGGCACUCAAAGAAAUAGUGCUCAUAUGGUUAAAUACUUAAUCGUAUCCAACUCCCACCGUUCCUAAAUAUAAGUCCUUUUAGAGAUUUCAAUGCGGACUAUAUACAGAACAAAAUAAGUGAAUUUACAUUCUAAAAUAUGUCUAUAUAUAUCCGUAUGUAAUUUGUAUUGGAAUCUCUAAAAAGACUUCUCCUCAUCAAGAAGAUCACAUACACUUUAUCUAUCCUGUACAAUGAGCAUAGGACAAGCUCAGCUAGUGUAACUACCAAUUAGCUAUGUGAUGAACAGCUUAUAAGAAAAUUAACUUUGAUUAUGUGUCUUGCGCCAAGACUACUCCAGAAACAUGCAUGUUGAAUGAAAUGAACAAACAAAUAGCCAAAAGACCAUUGGCUAUCCUUGACUGGCUAGUUGACUAAAUGGCUCAGGAAAAUAAAUUGUCAUGACAUAUUAUAAGUAAUAAAAAGGCAAAAGGCCACAAUAUGUGGUACAUAAUGUUCACAGUCCAUCGGCUUCACCAAACACUAAAAAGGGGUAAGCAUAAAUACACCUCGCUAAUCCCAUGGAGGCACUUCUCACAUAAAAAGGCAAAUGAAUGAAAACAGACAGGUAUCUUGUUUUCCUAGACUUGCAUCCAUGGCGAAAUGACUAUAGAAAAAAGAUGUGUGCUAUAGAUUUGAAGAAAAUACGGGUUCGCCUGUGAGGAAUAUACUAAAAGUCUACAACAAUAAUCAUAGUGAGGUAAUCAAGAAAAUAGUGCAAAUGCCUAAAUCUGAUACGCUAUAGAACUCAUCCUUCCGUAUGUAGUUUUCCUAUCUUCCAUGUGGAAGAGAUUAAGGUAAAUACUAACAGUUCGAAUUUGUUUUAGAAUAUAGGAGAGGCAUAUAUAUAAGUAAACUAAAAGGAAAAACCUACACACACAUGGUGCAACACCAGUCAUGCUAUUUAUUUCAAGCAUCAAUGGUAAAUACUAACUUGCCAAACCUCAUAUGUUUACUAAUUAUGAUACUGAAGAAGAAGUUACUGAAGAACAAACUAAUCAUUCCAGUGCUACAGAAUCAUGAAAAGGAACUGUGAUGAAAACCGAAAGGAAAGACUUAAUUUAUUUUAUUUUAUAUAUAACCAUGGAAGAGCAGCAUUAUAAAUCAUAAGUUGUAGCUCCUAUAAAUCAUAAGUUCCCUCAUAUUGUAAAUAGCGCCCUUGUAUGGAUGGGGGAACUUACUAUCCCAAUGCCACAUAGAUAAUCACAGUAUGUGAACACUGACACAUGAUUGCUCUAGAUUUGAGAUCGUGGCACUCUGCACCUCCAUAUAAAAAUUACCAAUGGGCAAUGUGUGGGAAUUCUCAUGAACAUCAUCACCACUCACUGACCCACCUUCGAGCAUCUCUUAAGGAUUUUGGUGAUGAACCAUCUCAAGGAAAUUUGCAUUCAGGCUAGCAACUUCAAUCCAGUCGUAUGGUCCAACAAAACAAUUCUCUAGUCGGAGAAAAAAUAAGUAAAUAAAAAAUAAAAAACACUCUCUUUUCACCUAGAACUGAAGCUCAGGAAGUUUACUUCCCUUCCUAGCUUCCAACCCUGUCCCUCCUCAGACCUCUCUGAUCUAUACCUUUGUCAUGGAUGGAGCUACACUUGCUCAUGAAGAUGGGUGGAAGCUGGGAAGGGAACAAGAUUGGAGAGAAGACAGUAUCGAACCUAGGAGACAUUAUGCUAUGAGAACAAAUACGAGAAAAAACCAAAGCUCUCCUCUAGCUUGGUCAUGUUUACAUCAACAUAAAUCGUAACAUCAAAUUGCAGGAAUACACUUGACCGUGUGAGAUUAGUAUGAGGCUCAGGCUCCACAUAGUGAUACGAGAGAAUUAUCAUCCAACUUCAUCUAUACUAUGUGUAUAUGAUGACAGCAAGCAUGAGGCUAGCAGCAGGCUUCUAAAUUCUAACCACCGGUAAUAAAUCACCACAUAUGCCCAAAGCUCUAAGCAAAACAAGCCAAUUUGCAGGCAACAUCACACAUCACUUCUCGAGCUAUUUCCUAAGAAAUGCAUCAUAUCGUCAAAAUCACCCAACCAAGGUCGCUAACCCUACAAGCUUUGUCCAGAAUGCAGAAUUGAAGCAGGCAAUCACCUGACGAAACCUCAGAAGAGUGGGGGGUCGAGGCUCAAUGAAGCGGAGGAUGUAGCGGCUAAUAACAC
This 3090-nucleotide long non-coding RNA is filed under the name Triticum aestivum (bread wheat). RNAcentral describes it as "long non-coding RNA (TAES_LNC015839)". The record is from RNAcentral. Lineage: Eukaryota; Viridiplantae; Streptophyta; Magnoliopsida; Poales; Poaceae.